AUUGAACGCUGGCGGCAUGCCUUACACAUGCAAGUCGAACGGCAGCGGGGGAGAAGCUUGCUUUUCCUGCCGGCGAGUGGCGAACGGGUGAGUAAUACAUCGGAACGUGCCCUGUAGUGGGGGAUGACUAGUCGAAAGAUUAGCUAAUACCGCAUACGACCUGAGGGUGAAAGUGGGGGACCGCAAGGCCUCAUGCUAUAGGAGCGGCCGAUGUCUGAUUAGCUAGAUGGUGGGGUAAAGGCCUACCAAGGCGACGAUCAGUAGCUGGUCUGAGAGGACGAUCAGCCACACUGGGACUGAGACACGGCCCAGACUCCUACGGGAGGCAGCAGUGGGGAAUUUUGGACAAUGGGCGAAAGCCUGAUCCGGCAAUGCCGCGUGUGUGAAGAAGGCCUUCGGGUUGUAAAGCACUUUUGUCCGGAAAGAAAUGGCUCUGGUUAAUACCUGGGGUCGAUGACGGUACCGGAAGAAUAAGGACCGGCUAACUACGUGCCAGCAGCCGCGGUAA
RNAcentral lists this ribosomal RNA (508 nucleotides) under uncultured bacterium. RNAcentral's name for it is "partial 16S ribosomal RNA". It matches the Rfam family "Bacterial small subunit ribosomal RNA", at positions 30 to 523 of the family's 1533-position model. The record is from RNAcentral.